Molecule: long non-coding RNA, 1072 nt
Filed under: Equus caballus (horse)
Lineage: Eukaryota; Metazoa; Chordata; Mammalia; Perissodactyla; Equidae
Description: lncRNA (ENSECAG00000048540.1)
Source: RNAcentral
CAAGACAAGAGGCGAGCCCUCACUAGAAACCAACCCUGCAGGCACCUCCAUGUUGGACUUCUAGUUUCCAAAGCUGUGAGAAAGUGCAUAUCUGUUGUUUAAAUCAUCCAGCCUAAGUCCAGAGAGCCAAAUGAGUGUGGUGACGUUAUUUCCGGCCUCGUCAGCAUGUGUGUGAUCAACACGAUCACACAGAAGACCGCCGCAUCCAAGAAAGGAGCAAGGAACACAAAGACAUACUUCAGACUGAUUGAACAGAAGGCAAAAUUUUCAACGGACAUGAUAAUGCAACACUUCCAACAUGGAUACAUUUGUUAUAGGCCGAAAAGCUGCAUCAUAUAAUGAGUGCUAUUGAUUUAGAAAGAAGAUUUACUCAAGAAUCAGGAGAAAUGAUGUACUGGACUUUGGAACUAAUUAUUUUUGAAUAAUGAAAGAGAAACAUCAAUAUGAAUUUAAAUUUCUAUCUUGGACAACUAAGCAGAUAGUAGUAAAAUAAAUAGAAUUAUGGAAGAGCUGCAAAUCUGAGAGAUGUGUGGAGCUUGAGCUAUUCAAGAAAAUAACAGAAGGAACAGAAGGCACUUUCCUUCGGAAUGAUCCAAGUUGCUGGUUACGCAUCGUCCUUCUUCCUGCACUUGAAUGUUCUCUAAAAGAACUUUUAAACUCCACGAAAGAUCAAUAUUUGACAAUCUUAGUGAUAUUUUACUGAUACCAAAAAGGAAAACAAAAGCAUUGAGGGGUUACAUAAAAGAGUAACUUCUGUCUUUCCGGCAAGCUCUCCUUUGGUGGCUUUGAUAAAGCUAUAUGGAGAAGUCCGUGCAGGAAGAACUGAGAGCAGCUCUGGCCGAUGUCCAAAAAGCCACUGAGACCCUCAGUCCAACAGUCCACAAGAACUAAAUCCUGCCAACACUCAGAGCUGGUGAGUGGAUCCUUCCCCAACUGAGCCUUUGGAUGAGACCCUGGCUGACACCUUGACUGCAGCCUCGUGAGAUCUUACAGCAAAGAACUCAGCUAAGUCAUGACCAGAUUCUUGAAAACUGAGACAAUAAAUAAAAAAAUAAACUAUGUUGACCUAAGC